This 246-nucleotide unclassified non-coding RNA is filed under the name uncultured fungus. RNAcentral describes it as "sequence contains ITS1, 5.8S rRNA gene". The stretch from base 198 to 246 matches the Rfam family "5.8S ribosomal RNA", at positions 1 to 49 of the family's 154-position model. The record is from RNAcentral. Lineage: Eukaryota; Fungi.
UCUCCGUUGGUGAACCAGCGGAGGGAUCAUUACAGAGUUAUCUAACUCCCAAACCCAUGUGAACUUACCAUUGUUGCCUCGGCAGAAGCUGCUCGGUAUACCUUACCUUGGAACGGCCUACCCUGUAACGUCCUGCCGGUGGACUUUUAAACUCUUGUUAUUUUAUGUAAUCUGAGCGUCUUAUUUUAAUAAGUCAAAACUUUCAACAACGGAUCUCUUGGUUCUGGCAUCGAUGAAGAACGCAGC